This 761-nucleotide ribosomal RNA is filed under the name Lichtheimia ramosa. RNAcentral describes it as "eukaryotic LSU rRNA". The stretch from base 284 to 437 matches the Rfam family "5.8S ribosomal RNA". The record is from RNAcentral. Lineage: Eukaryota; Fungi; Mucoromycota; Mucoromycetes; Mucorales; Lichtheimiaceae.
UUCCUCACAGUUUUGUGCAAAGUCGGGUCAACUUGGUUGGCUCUGCCUUGUGCUGUAGAUCUGGUUGUUGGCAUAGAGACCCUCCUUUUAGGAGACUUGUGCCACUACUAAGAUCUAGGCUGCUUGAAAAGAGACGUAUGGACCCUUCUUUCAGGAGACCUAUGUCUCGAGUCAAAGCAAGCAAGGCAAGCCUUUGGGGCUCUAGUACUAACUAUCCCCAAAGGUGUUUAUUCUUCUCGUGUAAACCAUGAUGUACGAAAAAGUUAGUUGUUAACUUAAAAACAACUCUUGGCAAUGGAUCUCUUGGUUCUCGCAUCGAUGAAGAGCGUAGCAAAGUGCGAUAAUUAUUGCGACUUGCAUUCAUAGCGAAUCAUCGAGUUCUCGAACGCAUCUUGCGCCUAGUAGUCAAUCUACUAGGCACAGUUGUUUCAGUAUCUGCAACUACCAAUCAGUUCAACUUGGUUCUUUGAACCUAAGCGAGCUGGAAAUGGGCUUGUGUUGAUGGCAUUCAGUUGCUGUCAUGGCCUUAAAUACAUUUAGUCCUAGGCAAUUGGCUUUAGUCAUUUGCCGGAUGUAGACUCUAGAGUGCCUGAGGAGCAACGACUUGGUUAGUGAGUUCAUAAUUCCAAGUCAAUCAGUCUCUUCUUGAACUAGGUCUUAAUCUUUACGGACUAGCGAGAGGAUCUAACUUGGGUCUUCUCUUUAAACAAACUCACAUCUAGAUCUGAAAUCAACUGAGAUCACCCGCUGAACUUAAGCAU